GACGUAGGGGGCAAGCGUUGUUCGGAAUUAUUGGGCGUAAAGCGCUCGUAGGCGGGACAGGAAGUUCGUGUUGAAAGACCUCGGCUCAACUGAGGGACCGGCUCGAAUACUCUUGUUCUUGAGGCAAUCAGAGGGUGAUGGAAUUCCCGGUGUAGCGGUGAAAUGCGUAGAUAUCAGGAGGAACACCGAUGGCGAAGGCAGGUCUCUGGGCCGCAACUGACGCUGAGGAGCGAAAGCAUGGGGAGCGAACAGG
Molecule: ribosomal RNA, 253 nt
Filed under: uncultured bacterium
Lineage: Bacteria
Description: partial 16S ribosomal RNA
Rfam family: Bacterial small subunit ribosomal RNA
Source: RNAcentral